RNAcentral lists this long non-coding RNA (830 nucleotides) under Homo sapiens (human). RNAcentral's name for it is "non-protein coding LINC00320:30". Lineage: Eukaryota; Metazoa; Chordata; Mammalia; Primates; Hominidae. The record is from RNAcentral.
AGUAGAAGGAUAACAUGACAUAGCAGGAAUAAUACUGCCUUUUCUUUCUGGCAUGGAUCAAGAGAAAAGAAAAUACAAGAAAACAGACAGAAGCAAGGCAAGGUACUUCUAUGGAAGGGUGAGCCCUCACAGAUGGAGCAAUGGGGCGCGCACACCUGAACAAGGGAGGGGAAGGAGUUCUUAUCCCUGAUGCAUGUGACCCCUGCUGCUGUGUCCUUCCCCUAUUGGCUAAGGCUUCUGACAGCUUUGGAGAUUGUGACAUUGGAAUAAAGGAAAAACGUACAGGACUCAUGAAGCGCUGAAAUGUUCACAAAUAUCAAGCAAAAGUCAAUGAAAUUUAUUUUGAGCUAUUUACAUCAUUUAAUAAUUGAGCAAGGUAUACUCCUAUGAACAAAAUUUGGAGCAUGUUUGUCUCUCUCUGCCUGGCGUCUUCAGAAUUUGGAAACUAGUUAAAAUUGUUGUCUUAUUUUCAUCCUCUUUAAAAGAUGGUUUAUAAUCAGCUAUAGAAUUUUAACACGUGCUCUCAAAUGCAAGUUUCUGAUAACUUUGGAGAUUGUGACAUUGGAAUAAAGGAAGAGCUGGAAUGUUCAUGAAUAUCAAGCAAAAGUCAUGGAAAUUUAUUUUGAGCUAUUUACAGCAUUUAAUAAUUGAGCAAGGUAUACUCCUAUGAACAAAAUUUGGAGCAUGUUUGUCUCUCUCUGUCUGCCUGGCAUCUACAGAAUUUGGAAACUAGUUUCGUUCCCAGAUUUCCUAAACUUUCCAGAGAAAAUGGUCUUCUCCCUGGCUCAGCAAGAAGAUGAACUUUAAACACUGAGAAACUGGUCAUCUCC